RNAcentral lists this ribosomal RNA (931 nucleotides) under Omadius sp. G0190. RNAcentral's name for it is "SSU rRNA". It matches the Rfam family "Eukaryotic small subunit ribosomal RNA", at positions 403 to 1297 of the family's 1831-position model. Lineage: Eukaryota; Metazoa; Arthropoda; Insecta; Coleoptera; Cleridae. The record is from RNAcentral.
AAACGGCUACCACAUCCAAGGAAGGCAGCAGGCGCGCAAAUUACCCACUCCCGGCACGGGGAGGUAGUGACGAAAAAUAACGAUACGGGACUCAUCCGAGGCCCCGUAAUCGGAAUGAGAACAAUUUAAAUCCUUUAACGAGGAUCAAUUGGAGGGCAAGUCUGGUGCCAGCAGCCGCGGUAAUUCCAGCUCCAAUAGCGUAUAUUAAAGUUGUUGCGGUUAAAAAGCUCGUAGUCGAAUCUGUGUCCCGCGCCGCCGGUUCGYCGCUCGCGGUGUUUAACUGGCGUGUUCGCGGGACGUCCUGCCGGUGGGCUUAGCCCUUUCRCGAGGGCGGCCCAAAUAUAAUCCCGCCGCGGUGCUCUUCACCGAGUGUCGAGGCGGGCCGGCACGUUUACUUUGAACAAAUUAGAGUGCUUAAAGCAGGCUAAAAUUUCGCCUGAAUACUUCGUGCAUGGAAUAAUGGAAUAGGACCUCGGUUCUAUUUUGUUGGUUUUCGGAACCCCGAGGUAAUGAUUAAUAGGAACGGAUGGGGGCAUUCGUAUUGCGACGUUAGAGGUGAAAUUCUUGGWYCGUCGCAAGACGGACAGAAGCGAAAGCAUUUGCCAAAAACGUUUUCAUUGAUCAAGAACGAAAGUUAGAGGUUCGAAGGCGAUCAGAUACCGCCCUAGUUCUAACCAUAAACGAUGCCAGCUAGCGAUCCGCCGACGUUCCUCCGAUGACUCGGCGGGCAGCUUCCGGGAAACCAAAGCUUUUGGGUUCCGGGGGAAGUAUGGUUGCAAAGCUGAAACUUAAAGGAAUUGACGGAAGGGCACCACCAGGAGUGGAGCCUGCGGCUUAAUUUGACUCAACACGGGAAACCUCACCAGGCCCGGACACCGGAAGGAUUGACAGAUUGAGAGCUCUUUCUUGAUUCGGUGGGUGGUGGUGCAUG